Molecule: ribosomal RNA, 498 nt
Filed under: uncultured bacterium
Lineage: Bacteria
Description: partial 16S ribosomal RNA
Rfam family: Bacterial small subunit ribosomal RNA
Source: RNAcentral
GACGAACGCUGGCGGCGUGCCUAAUACAUGCAGGUCGAGCGGACGGAUGGGAGCUUGCUCCCAGACCGUCAGCGGCGGACGGGUGAGUAACACGUGGGCAACCUGCCUGUAAGACUGGGAUAACUCCGGGAAACCGGGGCUAAUACCGGAUAACUCUUUCCCUCACAUGAGGGAAAGCUGAAAGAUGGCAUCUCGCUAUCACUUACAGAUGGGCCCGCGGCGCAUUAGCUAGUUGGUGAGGUAACGGCUCACCAAGGCGACGAUGCGUAGCCGACCUGAGAGGGUGAUCGGCCACACUGGGACUGAGACACGGCCCAGACUCCUACGGGAGGCAGCAGUAGGGAAUCUUCCGCAAUGGACGAAAGUCUGACGGAGCAACGCCGCGUGAGUGAUGAAGGUUUUCGGAUCGUAAAACUCUGUUGUCAGGGAAGAACAAGUACCGGAGUAACUGCCGGUACCUUGACGGUACCUGACCAGAAAGCCACGGCUAACUACGUG